CAAAGACUGUGAUGCCUGAUCAGAACAAUCACGAUUCAGUGAGACUGAGCCCUCUGCCAAAACCCUCCAAAAUCCCCAGCUAUUUCCUGACUGUCAGAGGGCCAUGCAGUUAUGGGAUUGCAUCUCCUAUAAAUGAUCAGAUGGUGUCCAGCUGGCCUUGCAAAGAACAUCAGAGUUUUCCGCUCCAGAGGGGAAGGUGUGGUAUUAUUUAACCUGAGACCUAUAGGUUCUGAAAAAGUUUGGACCUGUUGCUCAAAACCAAAAAUGUUUUGCAAGAAUACUGGUUUUGUCAUUGCAGGAAAUCUUGCAAUUCAAAGGAAUCUGUCAAACAAUCAAAGUAAUCUAUUUUCUAAUAAUGCAGCCUACAACUAAAUCUCCAAGACUUCAGCUGAUGGAACACAGAGGAACCAUAGCU
Molecule: long non-coding RNA, 415 nt
Filed under: Corvus moneduloides (New Caledonian crow)
Lineage: Eukaryota; Metazoa; Chordata; Aves; Passeriformes; Corvidae
Description: lncRNA (ENSCMUG00000018517.1)
Source: RNAcentral